This 468-nucleotide ribosomal RNA is filed under the name uncultured bacterium. Its description in RNAcentral is "partial 16S ribosomal RNA". It matches the Rfam family "Bacterial small subunit ribosomal RNA", at positions 28 to 507 of the family's 1533-position model. The record is from RNAcentral.
GACGAACGCUGGCGGCGUGCUUAACACAUGCAAGUCGAACGGAAAGGCCCUGCUUUUGUGGGGUGCUCGAGUGGCGAACGGGUGAGUAACACGUGAGUAACCUGCCCUUGACUUUGGGAUAACUUCAGGAAACUGGGGCUAAUAUCGGAUAGGAGCUCCUGCUGCAUGGUGGGGGUUGGAAAGUUUCGGCGGUUGGGGAUGGACUCGCGGCUUAUCAGCUUGUUGGUGGGGUAGUGGCUUACCAAGGCUUUGACGGGUAGCCGGCCUGAGAGGGUGACCGGCGACAUGGGGACUGAGGGACGGCCCAGACUCCUACGGGAGGCAGCAGUGGGGAAUAUUGCGCAAUGGGCGGAAGCGUGAGGCAGCAACGCCGCGUGCGGGAUGACGGCCUUCGGGUUGUAAACCGCUGUCGCCUGUGACGAAGCGUGAGUGACGGUAAUGGGUAAAGAAGCACCGGCUAACUACGUG